RNAcentral lists this ribosomal RNA (119 nucleotides) under Pteropus alecto (black flying fox). The record is from RNAcentral. Lineage: Eukaryota; Metazoa; Chordata; Mammalia; Chiroptera; Pteropodidae.
AUCUAUGGUCAUGCUACCCUGAACAAGCCUGAUCCCAUCUGAUCUCGGAAGCUAAGCAGGGUUGGGCCUGGUUAGUAUUUGGAUGGGAGACCGCCUAGGAAGACCAGGUGCUGUAGGCU